CUCUGACAAGUGUCACUCGUAAUGGUUGGUUUGUACGUAAAAUACAAAAAUAAAGUUCCCUUCUUAUCCUCCCUUUAGAAACAAAAUGUUAUUCUAUGCUCACAAUACAAUGAGAGCCAAAACAUGCGACUUUCGCACAAGCACGUACCAGCUACCAGUGACUAUAACAUGCUUCUAAUCAAACUGGCACAUCUGCCUUUGAACAUGAAGCAAUAUUAGAUUGAUUGUACGAGCGCUCCCAAUUUUGGCCAUCAUAAUACUUGAUUUCAACAUGGGUGAGUGUUCCUGGAUCCACGCAUCUAAAUGUAACUGCAACUCCAUCUGGAUUUGAUCGAGGAGUAUAGAAUGACGUUAUGCCACAGACCUUACAGAAUGUAUGCUUAGCCAUAUGUGUACCAAAAGUGUAUGUUGUGAGGGAUUGUUUGGAAUCUCCAAGAAGCUCAAACCUUUCAGAAGGAACAACGAAGUGGAUGUGUCCCCUCAUGGAGCAAUCAGAACAGUUGCACUUCCAAGCUACAACACUGCUUGGUGCUUUGGCUCGCCAUCUCACUCUUCCACAAUGACAUCCACCAUUAUGCACUACUAUGACUGAAUCCAUCCCAAAAAACACCACUCUUCAGAGAUGUAAGAGGAAAUUAUAAUUUCUCCGCGUAUAUCCUGAGGAAUUCUCUCGAGUGGGAAAAAAGAUAAGCUUCGGUGGCUACUCUGGAUUGAGCUUUAAGCACCGAAUGCGC
This 734-nucleotide unclassified non-coding RNA is filed under the name Hevea brasiliensis (rubber tree). Lineage: Eukaryota; Viridiplantae; Streptophyta; Magnoliopsida; Malpighiales; Euphorbiaceae. The record is from RNAcentral.